CCCACCUGAGCCACUUCCUUUUAUUUUUUUCUUCGCUAUCCAUGCCUCUCCUUGUCCAAGCAUGGGAUAGUGGAAACGGUCACCUUACUCCUCUGCUGCUUUAGCUCAAUGUUUUUCUUUCUCAUUCACUACUGUUCUCACACAUACUUUUUGCUCUUCUCUUGCAUUAUUUUGUUCUUUAUUUUCCUAGUUUUCCAGUUGAGAGGCUCUCUUUCACAAUCUUGUGCCACUUUAUAUACCCCUUUAUAUACUACUUCUUUUUAACCUCACUAUUCUGGCAACCUUGUUUUUGGGUACACAUUUUCACUAAUGUUUUUGCUCUAAACGCUGCAUAUACUCCAACAGACACACUGACA
Pelobates cultripes (western spadefoot toad) is the source of this 356-nucleotide non-coding RNA. Lineage: Eukaryota; Metazoa; Chordata; Amphibia; Anura; Pelobatidae. The record is from the annotation of a GenBank genome assembly.